GCCCUGGUCGCCUAACCUGGUUAUGGCGAAUGGCUGAAAACCAUUUUGACUACCACAGUCUUGCGAGUUCGAAUCUCGCCCAGGGCG
RNAcentral lists this transfer RNA (87 nucleotides) under archaeon. RNAcentral's name for it is "tRNA-Phe". It matches the Rfam family "tRNA". Rfam says of the family: Transfer RNA (tRNA) molecules are approximately 80 nucleotides in length. Their secondary structure includes four short double-helical elements and three loops (D, anti-codon, and T loops). The record is from RNAcentral. RNAcentral also lists the same sequence under 1 other name.